AGUGGUUCUCAGGUGACACACCCCAGAAUCAGGCUCCCUCCUCUCUGGUUCUGGGUGCAUCACCCAAGAACUGCA
Myotis brandtii (Brandt's bat) is the source of this 75-nucleotide non-coding RNA. The record is from Rfam. Lineage: Eukaryota; Metazoa; Chordata; Mammalia; Chiroptera; Vespertilionidae.